Molecule: long non-coding RNA, 994 nt
Filed under: Callithrix jacchus (white-tufted-ear marmoset)
Lineage: Eukaryota; Metazoa; Chordata; Mammalia; Primates; Cebidae
Description: lncRNA (ENSCJAG00000052406.2)
Source: RNAcentral
GGAUCACUCAGCAAGGCUAGUUUACUUCCUGCAGAAAGGAUGCAUCUCGAAGGCAGUCUUGCCACGAGAGCACGCCUGAACAAGGAGACAGGGACAUUUAUAACUUUCAUAACCUGGCGCAAUCACCCUACUGCUGUGUCCAGUUUCCAUUGGCCGGAACAGGACCUCACAUUCUAUGCUUGACCCAAUUGGCUAAAAACUUGGAAAUUUUCUAAAGAAGUAAAGCCAGAGGAGAGCAAAGGAAAAGAGAAAGUAACUUGAGGAAUGCUUAGAGAAGGGAUAACAUUUACAAAUAACGAAGGGGAAUUAGCUGUGACCUAAGGCUUGCCUGGGCUUGUCCAGGAAUGUCAGGGCAAAUAUCUAGGUUAAAGUGUAAGAACUAAGAACGCGGGAUUCACUUAUUUCUUUAUUAAGCCUAACAGCUAGUUUAUUAGCAAAAGCUUUAAAGUAAAUUAAUCUUUGAAUAAACUAUUAUUUAUUCAUAAUGAACUAAGAGGAAAGCUUUGAAGAGAAACCUUUUAUUUAUUCUUAUUUCCUACAGAGCUCAACGGUUAAAAUUCAGCUUAAUUAAAAGCUAACAUUCAAGAUGUAUGUGUGCUUGUGAACAUGUGUGUGUUUGUAUUUAAAAGGCCUUUAUGUUUUUGUUUUUCUCCUAGGACCUUGUUUAUUAUUUUUUGUCUUUGAGCAAAAGUUUUUUUCUUCUCAGUUGACGGAAUACUGUUUUCUUCAUAUGCUUCUGCUGUCUCUCCUUUUCUUCCACCUUCUCCUGCAUGUGGUACGUGAAACAGUUUAUAAUAGCCUGUGGCUCCUUAAAGAAAAUGGAGAAGGCACUAGAUUCCUUUUGGGGAGAAACCUGUUUUUUCUUACGGAACCCCAAGAACGUAAACAGAACUCUACAUCCCUGAAGCAGAAGUGGAGGAAAAAAGUGAAUGUUGCAGAGCUGGAGAUUGGCGGGGCAAGUUCAGCAGAGGAUGAAGACAGCUGGAAGCAAUAG